RNAcentral lists this ribosomal RNA (336 nucleotides) under Staphylococcus aureus. RNAcentral's name for it is "partial 23S ribosomal RNA". It matches the Rfam family "Bacterial large subunit ribosomal RNA", at positions 1229 to 1561 of the family's 2925-position model. The record is from RNAcentral. Lineage: Bacteria; Bacillati; Bacillota; Bacilli; Caryophanales; Staphylococcaceae.
UAGGAGAGCGUUCUAAGGGCGUUGAAGCAUGAUCGUAAGGACAUGUGGAGCGCUUAGAAGUGAGAAUGCCGGUGUGAGUAGCGAAAGACGGGUGAGAAUCCCGUCCACCGAUUGACUAAGGUUUCCAGAGGAAGGCUCGUCCGCUCUGGGUUAGUCGGGUCCUAAGCUGAGGCCGACAGGCGUAGGCGAUGGAUAACAGGUUGAUAUUCCUGUACCACCUAUAAUCGUUUUAAUCGAUGGGGGGACGCAGUAGGAUAGGCGAAGCGUGCGAUUGGAUUGCACGUCUAAGCAGUAAGGCUGAGUAUUAGGCAAAUCCGGUACUCGUUAAGGCUGAGC